UACACCAUAAAACCAUAUCUGUCUUUCUCUCAAUGUUUUGAAACCCGGACCGGGCUGCCUGGUCAGACCGGUCCGGCCGGGAUCCGGAGCCUAUACUGGACCGGUUCACCACAUCAGUUCAUUUCAGCAUCAGCUCGGCAGUCGUGCCGGGGGCCGGGCGGUCGGGCCGGCAGGUUGUCUCAUAGGGUCGAGCCGGUCAGAGCUUUCCGGCGAGCUUCAUAAAAGAACAACUUCUUAUCAUUCCGGCGACCUCCGAUGAACUGGUAAACUUUAAGGUGAAUAGAAUAAAAAGGAAGAAGAUAGAGGAAAAGAUUUUUGGGUUAAUACAAAAACUAAAGUAAUAUUUUAUAUAUUUUCUAGAGUUGUGGUACAGUGAUAGUGAUAUGACAUUUCCCUGUACCUCACUCUUUUUUUCCUUAUCUUUUAACGUUUAUUGGUUUAAUGAAUUCUUUUGAGAUGCCAUAUUGGUUUAAUAAAUACAAUUUUAGUUUUUCUCUUUUUAUUGUUCUGAUUAUUUAUUUUUUUCUAUAAUGUAUCAUUCAGUUUGCUUUAUGAUUUUAACUUUAUAUAACUUAGGUCCAAUGUUUUUUUAAAUCAUUAGUAAAAAAACUUAUGACGUAAUCCGGGUCUUAAAUCCGGUUGAACCGGUCGGACCGGUCCGACCUUUGACCCCGUAAGGCGACCGGGUCGACCUCCGGUCCGGUUCUGAAAACAUUUUCUCUCACCAAAAUGUUGAACCUUUUCCGAAAGUUUACUCCGGCAACCAGAUCAGCCGUGUUUAGGCUUACGCCGUCGGCAAGAUCGAACGUGAAGGACCAACUUUUCAAAUGGUCAAGAAAACGGGACUAUAAAAAAAGAGACGAGAUUCGGGACUGUAAAGGCUUCUUGGAACAAGCACCAUGAUGCGUUUAUUGCGUCAGUUUCGUUGAAGGCUGAUAAAGGCUUCCAGACUUUAAAAGUGUUUCUAAGCAACCGGGUGGCUGAAAUCACAGCAACAAGUGGAGACUACUGGGGGAGACUUAAGCUGAAGCUAGCUGGAAACAAACUUCUCUCCAGGCUUACACUUGGAAUGGGGAACAACAGAAAAUCAACGAUCCCACUCAGAUCGGUGCAGAGUGCCGUUUUCGGUACAGGAAAGGGGUGGUGGUUUUCGAGAACCACCUAGGAAUGUAGUACCACUUCCUGGGGUUGAGAAAGAAGGAGUGAAAUUUGAGGUAAAAAGUGGUCGGAUGUUAAUCAUAGGAACUCCGUUGCCGGGGGGGGGGGGGCUGAAGAGAAUGACAUGAUUGAUCUUAUGGUGCCGGAAAAGAAAGGGGAGUACACCCUUGAUGACUUAAAGAUUGACCGGAAAAAGCCGUUUGUUGU
Helianthus annuus (common sunflower) is the source of this 1365-nucleotide long non-coding RNA. RefSeq lists it as uncharacterized. The transcript is spliced from 3 exons. The record is from RefSeq and is a predicted model, not a curated record. Lineage: Eukaryota; Viridiplantae; Streptophyta; Magnoliopsida; Asterales; Asteraceae.